GGGGGUGUAGCUCAGGGGUAGAGCAACGGCCUUUUAAGCCGCAGGUCGAAGGUUCGAUUCCUUCCACCCUCA
RNAcentral lists this transfer RNA (72 nucleotides) under Candidatus Zhuqueibacterota bacterium. RNAcentral describes it as "candidate division KSB1 bacterium tRNA-Lys". It matches the Rfam family "tRNA". Rfam says of the family: Transfer RNA (tRNA) molecules are approximately 80 nucleotides in length. Their secondary structure includes four short double-helical elements and three loops (D, anti-codon, and T loops). RNAcentral also lists the same sequence under 1 other name. The record is from RNAcentral. Lineage: Bacteria; Pseudomonadati.